AGUGAACGCUGGCGGUAGGCCUAACACAUGCAAGUCGAACGGCAGCACAGUAAGAGCUUGCUCUUACGGGUGGCGAGUGGCGGACGGGUGAGGAAUACAUCGGAAUCUACUUUUUCGUGGGGGAUAACGUAGGGAAACUUACGCUAAUACCGCAUACGACCUACGGGUGAAAGCAGGGGAUCUUCGGACCUUGCGCGAUUGAAUGAGCCGAUGUCGGAUUAGCUAGUUGGCGGGGUAAAGGCCCACCAAGGCGACGAUCCGUAGCUGGUCUGAGAGGAUGAACGCCCCAACUGAAAUGGAGACACGGCCAGGCCCCCUCGGGAGGGCGGCGUGGGGAAUAUUUGACAAAGGGGGGCAAGCCUAUUCCAGCAUUCCGCGGGGGGUGAAGAGGCCCUUCGGUUUGUAAGCCCUUUUGUUGGGAAAGAAAAGCAGCAGGUUAAUACCCCGCUGUUCUGACGGUACCCAAAGAAUAAGCACCGGCUAACUUCGUG
Molecule: ribosomal RNA, 491 nt
Filed under: uncultured bacterium
Lineage: Bacteria
Description: partial 16S ribosomal RNA
Rfam family: Bacterial small subunit ribosomal RNA
Source: RNAcentral